AUCCAAAUAACUAAAAUACAAUUAAUAUUUAUUACGACGUACAACCAUCCAAAUAAAAGUUCACCCAAAUACAAUUAAUUCGGUUAUCCAUUGUCAAAAAACUUGAAAAUUAAUAAACUUGUAGCAGCUACAUGACUAAUUCAUCGGACACUGCAUCUGAAAAGCAGUCUGGGAAAUGCUAGCAAAUCGCAACUCAAUUUCUGUCAAUUUUUCUUGACUGCAGAUAGUUGAAUAGCCCUGAAUUCGAAGUGGUAUGACUGGUAUCAAAACUCAAUUAAGACAAUUAUCAAAUCACUGCUGCGUUGCUUAAUUCUGCAAGUAAAUAAUUCAAACAAUAAAGACAAUUUUGAAACACAUGAGAAACACCACACUAUUUUUCUUAAUCUUUACAGAAAGUAUAAGACAAUAUCAGAGACAAGGGAGUACUUUCUCUCUCAUUUUUCCUGUAAACCUAUUCUAAGGUUUGGGGGAUUCUAGAGAAUCAUUUAAGACCUGAAGCUAAAGAUCAAAUGAGUAGAAGACCAUGUUUGAAGCUAAACAAGAACAAAAGGAUAGAUGAAAACCUAGAAUCAAACAGAAGAAGUGCACCUCCAGGGAAAGAAAAGGCAUAUGAAAAACUCAGGUUGUUGAGUAAUGAGGUGAAGAAAGCUAUUUAUGUACCUGACACAAGAUAUGUACUCCAUGAUCUUGAUGAAGAAACAAAAGAGAGAGCCUUGCUUUAUCACAGUGAAAGACUAGUCAUAGCUUAUGGGCAUCUCAGUACACCUGCAAGAACCACAUUGCGGAUCAUAAAGAGGUUUCAUCAUUUUAGGGAUGGGAAGUGCUCUUGUGGAGACUUCUGGUAGAACAUGAAUGUGUCGCGUUAUAGGUAUUCAGCUGCCCACUUCUUUUAGUCACAUAUCAUGUAAUUGCAGUG
RNAcentral lists this long non-coding RNA (916 nucleotides) under Olea europaea subsp. europaea. Lineage: Eukaryota; Viridiplantae; Streptophyta; Magnoliopsida; Lamiales; Oleaceae. The record is from RNAcentral.